GACGAACGCUGGCGGCGUGCUUAACACAUGCAAGUCGAACGGUGAAGCCCCAGCUUGCUGGAGUGGAUCAGUGGCGAACGGGUGAGUAACACGUGAGCAACCUGCCCCUGACUCUGGAAUAAGCGCUGGAAACGGCGUCUAAUACUGGAUACGAGAAGGGUCCGCAUGGGCACUUUCUGGAAAGUUUUUCGGUUGGGGAUGGGCUCGCGGCCUAUCAGCUUGUUGGUGAGGUAAUGGCUCACCAAGGCGACGACGGGUAGCCGGCCUGAGAGGGCGACCGGCCACACUGGGACUGAGACACGGCCCAGACUCCUACGGGAGGCAGCAGUGGAGAAUAUUGCACAGUGGGCGGAAGCCUGAUGCGGCGACGCCGCGUGGGGGAUGACGGCCUUCGGGUUGUAAACCUCUGUCAGCAGGGAAGAAGCGAAAGUGACGGUACCUGCAGAAGAAGCACCGGCUAACUACGUG
RNAcentral lists this ribosomal RNA (468 nucleotides) under uncultured bacterium. Its description in RNAcentral is "partial 16S ribosomal RNA". It matches the Rfam family "Bacterial small subunit ribosomal RNA", at positions 28 to 507 of the family's 1533-position model. The record is from RNAcentral.